This 440-nucleotide ribosomal RNA is filed under the name uncultured bacterium. Its description in RNAcentral is "partial 16S ribosomal RNA". It matches the Rfam family "Bacterial small subunit ribosomal RNA", at positions 338 to 795 of the family's 1533-position model. The record is from RNAcentral.
CCUACGGGUGGCAGCAGUGGGGAAUAUUGCACAAUGGGGGGAACCCUGAUGCAGCGACGCCGCGUGAGUGAAGAAGUAUUUCGGUAUGUAAAGCUCUAUCAGCAGGGAAGAAAAUGACGGUACCUGACUAAGAAGCCCCGGCUAACUACGUGCCAGCAGCCGCGGUAAUACGUAGGGGGCAAGCGUUAUCCGGAUUUACUGGGUGGAAAGGGAGCGCAGACGGCUGUGCAAGUCUGGAGUGAAAGGCGGGGGUCCAACCCCCGGACUGCUCUGGAAACUGUAAAGCUGGAGUGCAGGAGAGGUAAGCGGAAUUCCGAGUGUAGCGGUGAAAUGCGUAGAUAUUAGGAGGAACACCAGUGGCGAAGGCGGCUUACUGGACUGCAACUGACGUUGAGGCUCGAAAGCGUGGGGAGCAAACAGGAUUAGAUACCCGGGUAGUC